UACAGAGGUCUCGAGCGUUGUUCGGAUUCAUUGGGCGUAAAGGGUGCGUAGGUGGCGGGGCAAGUCAGGUGUGAAAUCCCGGGGCUCAACCCCGGAACUGCAUUUGAUACUGCCUUGCUCGAGUACUGGAGAGGAGACUGGAAUUUACGGUGUAGCAGUGAAAUGCGUAGAUAUCGUAAGGAAGCCCAGUGGCGAAGGCGAGUCUCUGGACAGUUACUGACACUGAGGCACGAAGGCCAGGGGAGCAAACGGG
RNAcentral lists this ribosomal RNA (253 nucleotides) under uncultured bacterium. RNAcentral describes it as "partial 16S ribosomal RNA". It matches the Rfam family "Bacterial small subunit ribosomal RNA", at positions 524 to 776 of the family's 1533-position model. The record is from RNAcentral.